RNAcentral lists this long non-coding RNA (252 nucleotides) under Homo sapiens (human). RNAcentral describes it as "non-protein coding SEMA3B-AS1:1". Lineage: Eukaryota; Metazoa; Chordata; Mammalia; Primates; Hominidae. The record is from RNAcentral.
GGAGACGGCAGCCAGGCGGGAGUGGAAUGGGCACAAGGGAGGGGCUGGUUGGAGGUGGGAGGAACAACCCCCACCAAACCCAGAGCCGAAAACUGAGGGAGUUUUACAGACAGGACGGAGCUCCUGCACCUCGGAGCCUCAGUUGGGAAUGACCUGGGGUCUUGUCCUGAAGCUGAGUCUGGUGAACGUGCCCCAUUUGUAACAUGAGGGGUACUUCUCUGGAGGGACUGUAUGUUGACAGUGGCAGAGUGG